UUCAAGAUUUCAUUUCUUUAAUAUAAAUAUCAAACCCCCUAAAACCCAAAACAGUUUCCUACUAUUGUCAUAUUUCCUCCGUCUUACUCAUCCGGUGUCUAAUUUGCAGUUAGUUCAGUUAUACAGUUGUGAAAGUUAAUUGUGAAACAGAUACAGAGACACGAAGAUGUCAAGCAUUCCGGAUGAUUGUGAACUAGAAGAGAUGGACUUACAGCAGAUUGAGAGAGGAUUGCAAAAGAGAGAAGAACAGAGACAAGGAGAAGAGAGAAGCUCUUGUUGUUGACUUUAGAUGUAGCCAUUUUUUGGAUCUCAACCGGUGUGUGUUUCGGCUAGUGGGGUGUUUUAUAGAGAAAUGCGGUAGCUGGAGGGAUCAGGAAUUUGAUUUAUUCAUUUCCAUAUUUAUUACUUGGGGCCAGAAAAACGUGCACCCCUCUGAUGAGUCCAUGACUCACGAGCAUCGGGGGCUUGUGAUUUACCAAGUUUGGAAAAUUGGACUUUUAUGGUUCGAGUUCGAGAAAGCAUGAGCUAAGCUAAUACAAAUUCAAAUAGGACUUUUUAUUUUUCUUCAAAGUAAACAAGGAACCUUUUCAUUAAUGGAAAUUCAAGGUUACAAUGA
This is a long non-coding RNA of Papaver somniferum (opium poppy), 616 nucleotides long. RefSeq lists it as uncharacterized. The record is from RefSeq and is a predicted model, not a curated record. The transcript is spliced from 2 exons. NCBI's taxonomy places the organism in Eukaryota, Viridiplantae, Streptophyta, Magnoliopsida, Ranunculales, Papaveraceae.